UGUAUUUUCACCUUGAGAUUCGAAACGUUCACACCAAAUGGAGUGCGCAGUAUCAAACGUCUCCUGUGUCUAUCACAUCUCCCCGGAUAGCGUCUAGCGCGGACUAGCGCGUACCGGAGGUGUAAACAGUAUCCGCAGCAGCGCGCCUUGGGUCAAGUACCUUAGUUGCGAGACUAAAGUUUGGGCCCGCGCCAGUUGGAAACUCACUUCAACUUUCAUCCACCGUGCAGUGCAGUGACGACUUUGUUCAGCGGUUGCCAGCGCAGGAGCCCUAGGCUGCAGUCCUCCAACUUGUCCAACCCGGCAGUUCCGGCACAAUGGCGUAUCAAACCGUCCACUGGCCCGCCGCCCAACGCUACGGUGGCGAAGUAGAUGGAGGAAGAGAGGCGUGCCUGGCGAGAGUCAACAGUGGAACCAUGGCACAAAGCCCUACUGUAGUGCGAUUGAGCGGAGAGUGACGGAGUAAAGCCCGGAGUAGGCACAGCAUGUGUGGGCGUGUGAGUGGGUGGGCGUGUGGGUGGUAGACGACAAGGAUGAGGACUCCCACUCCAACGCACAAUCCAUACGUUGGAGGGAAACCUUGAUCUGUUGCAGUCAGAGCAUGACUGGUAUCGUUGCCAAAAGAGAAAAUCUGUCCCUGUACCGUACAUCUUCAGAUUUUUCAUACUACUUUUGUGACGGGCUUACAUGUAAAUGGUACAAAAUGUGUGUGUUGCAUGCGUGCAUGUGUGUGUUGUAUGUGUGUGUUGUGCGUGUGUGUGCGUGUGUGUGUGUGUGUGUGUGUGUGUGUGUGUGUGUGAUGUGUGUGUGUGUGUGUGUGUGUGUGUGUGUGUGUGUGUGUGUGUGUGUGUUUGCAUGGAAUUAGGUUGUGUGUGCUAUCAUACUGCGUAUUGUGCAAACGGGAGCAGAUCCAUUCUUCUUCCUAUUCUUGUCUAUUGUUAUCUUUUCUUUCCUCUACUGUUUGUCUGCUUGACAUCUUCACCUAUUCUUGCGUAAACAUGCUUCCCCUGUGGCAAGAGCUACAUGUACACUUCAAUCUCCUCUGGGCAUUCACCAAUAUCCGACUGCCACUCGAUUUCAACUCUCCCUGAAGAAAUGUUCCAUCAAAAAAUAA
This is a long non-coding RNA of Sycon ciliatum, 1114 nucleotides long. RefSeq lists it as uncharacterized. The record is from RefSeq and is a predicted model, not a curated record. NCBI's taxonomy places the organism in Eukaryota, Metazoa, Porifera, Calcarea, Leucosolenida, Sycettidae. The transcript has 3 exons.